GACGAACGCUGGCGGCGUGCCUAAUACAUGCAAGUAGAACGCUGAAGAGAGGAGCUUGCUCUUCUUGGAUGAGUUGCGAACGGGUGAGUAACGCGUAGGUAACCUGCCUUGUAGCGGGGGAUAACUAUUGGAAACGAUAGCUAAUACCGCAUAACAAUGGAUGACACAUGUCAUUUAUUUGAAAGGGGCAAUUGCUCCACUACAAGAUGGACCUGCGUUGUAUUAGCUAGUAGGUGAGGUAACGGCUCACCUAGGCGACGAUACAUAGCCGACCUGAGAGGGUGAUCGGCCACACUGGGACUGAGACACGGCCCAGACUCCUACGGGAGGCAGCAGUAGGGAAUCUUCGGCAAUGGGGGCAACCCUGACCGAGCAACGCCGCGUGAGUGAAGAAGGUUUUCGGAUCGUAAAGCUCUGUUGUAAGUCAAGAACGAGUGUGAGAGUGGAAAAUUCACACUGUGACGGUAGCUUACCAGAAAGGGACGGCUAACUACGUGCCAGCAGCCGCGGUAAUACGUAGGUCCCGAGCGUUGUCCGGAUUUAUUGGGCGUAAAGCGAGCGCAGGCGGUUUGAUAAGUCUGAAGUUAAAGGCUGUGGCUCAACCAUAGCUCGCUUUGGAAACUGUCAAACUUGAGUGCAGAAGGGGAGAGUGGAAUUCCAUGUGUAGCGGUGAAAUGCGUAGAUAUAUGGAGGAACACCGGUGGCGAAAGCGGCUCUCUGGUCUGUAACUGACGCUGAGGCUCGAAAGCGUGGGGAGCGAACAGGAUUAGAUACCCUGGUAGUCCACGCCGUAAACGAUGAGUGCUAGGUGUUGGAUCCUUUCCGGGAUUCAGUGCCGCAGCUAACGCAUUAAGCACUCCGCCUGGGGAGUACGACCGCAAGGUUGAAACUCAAAGGAAUUGACGGGGGCCCGCACAAGCGGUGGAGCAUGUGGUUUAAUUCGAAGCAACGCGAAGAACCUUACCAGGUCUUGACAUCCCGAUGCUAUUUCUAGAGAUAGAAAGUUACUUCGGUACAUCGGUGACAGGUGGUGCAUGGUUGUCGUCAGCUCGUGUCGUGAGAUGUUGGGUUAAGUCCCGCAACGAGCGCAACCCCUAUUGUUAGUUGCCAUCAUUCAGUUGGGCACUCUAGCGAGACUGCCGGUAAUAAACCGGAGGAAGGUGGGGAUGACGUCAAAUCAUCAUGCCCCUUAUGACCUGGGCUACACACGUGCUACAAUGGUUGGUACAACGAGUUGCGAGUCGGUGACGGCAAGCUAAUCUCUUAAAGCCAAUCUCAGUUCGGAUUGUAGGCUGCAACUCGCCUACAUGAAGUCGGAAUCGCUAGUAAUCGCGGAUCAGCACGCCGCGGUGAAUACGUUCCCGGGCCU
This 1369-nucleotide ribosomal RNA is filed under the name uncultured bacterium. RNAcentral's name for it is "bacterial SSU rRNA". It matches the Rfam family "Bacterial small subunit ribosomal RNA", at positions 28 to 1381 of the family's 1533-position model. The record is from RNAcentral.